CAUGUCUUUAUUUUUCAUUUUUGUAGGAUAUAGGACUAUGCUACAAUUUUAUGUAGAAUCUAUUUAGAAUCCUAUACAGAAUUCCAGACUAACAUGUUUUACUUUCAGCUCUUUAAAGAUGUCAUUCUAUUGUUUUGGCCUUCAUUGUUUCUGAAGAGAAAUCAGACAAUUUUAUCAUUGUUUUCGUCUGUGUAAUGUUUCUUUUUUCUCUGACUGCUUUUAAGAUUUUUGUGUCGUCUUUGGCUAUCUACAGAGUGAAUAUGGUGUGCCUAGUUCUGUUUUUGUGUUUAUCCUUUUUUGGGAUUACUAUGAUUCUUGAUGCUGAAGUUGGAUAUUUUUAAUCGAUUUUGAGAAAUUCUUGGUCAUUAUGUUUUCAAGUAUUUCUUCUGACCCAUUUUCUAUCUCUCACGGAUGCAAUUACAUAUUUACUAGACUACUUAAUAUUGUCCUAGAGAUCAUAGACUCAAGUUUUUUACUCAUUCCCCCUUUUAUUUAUUUAUUUUUGAUAAUUGACCUGUCCUCAGGUUUAUUGCUUCUUUUUGCUGCUGUUAAUAGGCUACUGUUGUGUUUCGUGGCCUCUUAGGCUCCUAAUAUGUAUUCACUUUUAAUGAUAGUGUAUUUAAAAAAUUUUUGACAUUUCAGUUUGCUUUCUUUUUAUACUUUUCAUUACUCUGCUGAAAUUCUCUGUAUAUUCAUGCAUGUAUAUCCACCUUUUCCACUGAAUUAUUUGACAUAUUUAUCAUAGUUAUGCUGAAGUUACCCCCUGAUAAAUCUAACAUCUGUACCUUCUAGAGUCUCAGCCUGUUGACUGUUUUCUCAUUUGAUUAUUGUUCACAUUUUUUUCUUUUUGUGUGUCUCAAAAUUUCUUACUGUAUGUUGGACAUUGUGAGAAAAAAGUAGAGAUUGAGAAAAUUAAUAUUUUUUUUUUACCCUAGAAAAGUGCAUACUUUUUUUUUGUUAGGCCUUGGCUUGGGAAAGUUGAGGAAAUCUGUUGUAUAUUUGAGGUAUGUGGGUUUUAUUUCAGCUUUAGUUGGAUUAGUUUACGACUGACUUCAAAUGUUUUGAAAACAAAAUAAGGUCUUUUCUGUCACUAGGGCUUGUGAUCUGAGCAUUGGCAAGAUUUCAGAGAUCUCUGUAUGCUCACAGACUGUUUUGGUUGCUAGGGAGUUCUUUUUCCUUCCCUGUUUCCGACUUUAUUAAUCUCAGGAGGUCUCUCUUCUUUUUGCUCUGCUAGUUCAAGCCUUUGGCAUCCAGUGCUUUGUACUUAAUGAAAGUUCACAACACUCUGAGGAACUGUUCUCAGUUCUUCUGCCUUAUUUCUGGCCUCAGUUGCAACUGUUUUGACCUAGUGAAGGCCUAGUCUUUCUCAGACAGAUUUCUUUUAACUCUUCUGCCCUGACUCCAGUCUUCACUGGGAUGCUGCCUUGCACUUAGGGAAGGUUCACAUGCCUCAAGGAUCUCUCUGUCAGAUUUCUUGACUUUCCCUCAGUCUUCAGGAUAGUCCUCCUAUGUGCCUGGUGAAGACCUGUGGUAAAGUGCUGGCAGAUGAGGAAGCUAAAUCACGUAAAAAUUAAGAAACAGCUCAGCGUUUCACAGCUAGGUCACACAGCUGCUAAUUGUUCUGUGCAGGAAAUGCAUGAGGGAAGAAGAAAAGACACACAUACAAUACCUUUAAGGGUGAACAACCUUUAUCCCAUGUAAAUGGCAAUGCAGAUAUAAUAAGCAAAUGAUAUAAUAAGCAAAUUGAUAUAAUAGGCAGAUUGAUAUAAUAAGCAAAUUGCAAUGGGAAGGGGAGAAGGAAAAGAUGUAUAUAUAUGUAUAUAUUUACACUCAGCAGACUAUGGAGGAUUCACCACCAGACUGGGAAGCAACAGCCUGGGCUCCCGAGUCGGACAUCAUACUCACCAGAUUGUGGAGGAUUCACCACCAGACUGGGAAGCAACAGUCUGGGCUCAAGAGUCAGAAGUAACAACACCCUGGCCUCCAGAGUUGGACACUACACUCACCAUACUAUGGAGGGGAUUCACCACCAGGCUGGGAAGCAACAGCCUGGGCUCCAGAGUUGGACGCUACACUCACCAUACUAUGGAGGGGAUUCACCACCAGACUGGGAAGCAACAACAGCCUGGCCUCCAGAGUUGGACGCUACACUCACCAUACUAUGGAGGGGAUUCACCACCAGACUGGGAAGCAACAGCCUGGGCUCCAGAGUUGGCUACCCAUCCAUGCACAGAUGAGGAGAGGUCUCGUGAAGCUGUGGCAUGGUCUGGGACCCUAACUUUUUUUGUAACAAGUUGUUUGGCAUGAGGCCCAGUCACAAGGGCCCUUCACUGUGUCGUAAACACUUUUCAUGUAAUUAUUUGUGUUUUUAUGGUUCUAGUUAUAAUUGGAGCAAAUUUUCUACUUUAUAACAAUUUAUACAUUUCACUAAUAGGCAUACAUAUUGUAUCUGUUUGUUCACUAGUGUAACUAAUGCUACACCAAACAUCUGUGUGCAUAAAUCUUUGUUUAAAUAUGAUUAUUUUCUUAUUAUUAGAAAUAAAAUGGUGAUGAGAAGAUAAAGGUAUUUCUAAGGCUCUUGAAGCAGGUUGUCAAACUGUUUCCUCCCACAAAUUUUUCCAUUUUAUUCUGAACAGUAUACCUUUUUCAUUUUAUACUCUGUAUUACACUUUUAAAUCUUUGCUAACUUUACAGUUAAAUGAAUGAUAUCUCAAUAA
Molecule: non-coding RNA, 2717 nt
Organism: Macaca mulatta (Rhesus monkey)
Lineage: Eukaryota; Metazoa; Chordata; Mammalia; Primates; Cercopithecidae
Source: RefSeq, a predicted model, not a curated record